CUCCCUGUGGUGAAACCGGAUAUCACGAGUCCCUCCUAAGGUCUAAUUUCAGGUUCGAGUCCUGACGGGGAGGCCA
This 76-nucleotide transfer RNA is filed under the name Halieaceae bacterium MED-G27. RNAcentral's name for it is "tRNA-Arg". It matches the Rfam family "tRNA". Rfam says of the family: Transfer RNA (tRNA) molecules are approximately 80 nucleotides in length. Their secondary structure includes four short double-helical elements and three loops (D, anti-codon, and T loops). RNAcentral also lists the same sequence under 2 other names. The record is from RNAcentral. Lineage: Bacteria; Pseudomonadati; Pseudomonadota; Gammaproteobacteria; Cellvibrionales; Halieaceae.